RNAcentral lists this ribosomal RNA (391 nucleotides) under uncultured bacterium. RNAcentral describes it as "partial 16S ribosomal RNA". It matches the Rfam family "Bacterial small subunit ribosomal RNA", at positions 523 to 918 of the family's 1533-position model. The record is from RNAcentral.
AUACGGAGGAUCCGAGCGUUAUCCGGAUUUAUUGGGUUUAAAGGGUGCGCAGGCGGCCAUUUAAGUCAGCGGUUAAAUCGUGGGGCUCAACCCCAUUCUGCCGUUGAUACUGGGUGGCUUGAUUGCGGUCGAGGUUGGCGGAAUUCGUUGUGUAGCGGUGAAAUGCAUAGAUAUGACGAAGAACACCGAUUGCGUAGGCAGCUGACCAGAUCGCAAAUGACGCUCAUGCACGAAAGUGCGGGGAUCGAACAGGAUUAGAUACCCUGGUAGUCCGCACAGUAAACGAUGAAUACUUGUUUUCGGCGAUAUAACGUCGGAGGCAAAGCAAAGCGAUAAGUAUUCCACCUGGGGAGUUCGCCGGCAACGGUGAAACUCAAAGGAAUUGACGGGG